Molecule: microRNA, 22 nt
Filed under: Sus scrofa (pig)
Lineage: Eukaryota; Metazoa; Chordata; Mammalia; Artiodactyla; Suidae
Description: ssc-mir238
Source: RNAcentral
GGGGCCCUCCUGGUGCUUGCGU